GACGAACGCUGGCGGCGUGCCUAAUACAUGCAAGUAGAACGCUGAAGGAGGAGCUUGCUUCUCUGGAUGAGUUGCGAACGGGUGAGUAACGCGUAGGUAACCUGCCUGGUAGCGGGGGAUAACUAUUGGAAACGAUAGCUAAUACCGCAUAAUAGCAGUUAUUGCAUGAUAACUGUUUGAAAGGUGCAAUUGCACCACUACCAGAUGGACCUGCGUUGUAUUAGCUAGUUGGUGGGGUAACGGCUCACCAAGGCGACGAUACAUAGCCGACCUGAGAGGGUGAUCGGCCACACUGGGACUGGGACACGGCCCAGACUCCUACGGGAGGCAGCAGUAGGGAAUCUUCGGCAAUGGACGGAAGUCUGACCGAGCAACGCCGCGUGAGUGAAGAAGGGUUUCGGAUCGUAAAGCUCUGUUGUAAGAGAAGAACGAGUGUGAGAGUGGAAAGUUCACACUGUGACGGUAUCUUACCAGAAAGGGACGGCUAACUACGUG
RNAcentral lists this ribosomal RNA (495 nucleotides) under uncultured bacterium. RNAcentral's name for it is "partial 16S ribosomal RNA". It matches the Rfam family "Bacterial small subunit ribosomal RNA", at positions 28 to 507 of the family's 1533-position model. The record is from RNAcentral.